GACGAACGCUGGCGGCGUGCUUAACACAUGCAAGUCGAAUGAAGAGCGAUGGAAGCUUGCUUCUAUCAAUCUUAGUGGCGAACGGGUGAGUAACGCGUAAUCAACCUGCCCUUCAGAGGGGGACAACAGUUGGAAACGACUGCUAAUACCGCAUACGAUCUGACCUCGGCAUCGAGGAUAGAUGAAAGGUGGCCUCUACAUGUAAGCUAUCACUGAAGGAGGGGAUUGCGUCUGAUUAGCUAGUUGGAGGGGUAACGGCCCACCAAGGCGAUGAUCAGUAGCCGGUCUGAGAGGAUGAACGGCCACAUUGGGACUGAGACACGGCCCAGACUCCUACGGGAGGCAGCAGUGGGGAAUCUUCCGCAACGGACGAAAGUCUGACGGAGCAACGCCGCGUGAGUGAUGACGGCCUUCGGGUUGUAAAGCUCUGUUAAUCGGGACGAAAGGCCUUUUUGCGAAUAGUGAGAAGGAUUGACGGUACCGGAAUAGAAAGCCACGGCUAACUACGUG
This 510-nucleotide ribosomal RNA is filed under the name uncultured bacterium. Its description in RNAcentral is "partial 16S ribosomal RNA". It matches the Rfam family "Bacterial small subunit ribosomal RNA", at positions 28 to 507 of the family's 1533-position model. The record is from RNAcentral.